RNAcentral lists this ribosomal RNA (477 nucleotides) under uncultured bacterium. Its description in RNAcentral is "partial 16S ribosomal RNA". It matches the Rfam family "Bacterial small subunit ribosomal RNA", at positions 30 to 507 of the family's 1533-position model. The record is from RNAcentral.
AUGCACGCUGGCGGCGUGCCUAACACCUGCAAGUCGAACGGAGUCCAGCCUUUAAGACCUUCGGGUCAAAGAGGGGAAGACUGAGUGGCGGACGGGUGAGUAACACGUGGGCAACCUGGCUCAUAGAGGGGGAUAACAGAGAGAAAUUUCUGCUAAUACCGCAUAAGCACACACUGCCGCAUGGCAGAGGGUGAAAAGAGAAUCGCUAUGAGAUGGACCCGCGUCUGAUUAGCCAGUUGGCAGGGUAAGAGCCUACCAAAGCGACGAUCAGUAGCCGAUCUGAGAGGAUGAACGGCCACAUUGGGACUGAGACACGGCCCAAACUCCUACGGGAGGCAGCAGUGGGGGAUAUUGCACAAUGGGGGGAACCCUGAUGCAGCGACGCCGCGUGAGUGAAGAAGUAUUUCGGUAUGUAAAGCUCUAUCAGCAGGGAAGAUAAUGACAGUACCUGAAUAAGAAGCCCCGGCUAACUACGUG